AUUGAACGCUGGCGGCAUGCUUUACACAUGCAAGUCGAACGGUAACAGGCCGCAAGGUGCUGACGAGUGGCGAACGGGUGAGUAAUGCAUCGGAACGUGCCCAGUCGUGGGGGAUAACUACUCGAAAGAGUAGCUAAUACCGCAUACGAUCUAUGGAUGAAAGCGGGGGACCGUAAGGCCUCGCGCGAUUUGAGCGGCCGAUGUCAGAUUAGGUAGUUGGUGGGGUAAAGGCUCACCAAGCCAACGAUCUGUAGCUGGUCUGAGAGGACAACCAGCCACACUGGGACUGAGACACGGCCCAGACUCCUACGGGAGGCAGCAGUGGGGAAUUUUGGACAAUGGGCGCAAGCCUGAUCCAGCAAUGCCGCGUGCAGGAAGAAGGCCUUCGGGUUGUAAACUGCUUUUGUACGGAACGAAACGGCUCUGGUUAAUACCCGGGGCUAAUGACGGUACCGUAAGAAUAAGCACCGGCUAACUACGUG
RNAcentral lists this ribosomal RNA (482 nucleotides) under uncultured bacterium. Its description in RNAcentral is "partial 16S ribosomal RNA". It matches the Rfam family "Bacterial small subunit ribosomal RNA", at positions 30 to 507 of the family's 1533-position model. The record is from RNAcentral.